This is a long non-coding RNA of Jaculus jaculus (lesser Egyptian jerboa), 654 nucleotides long. RefSeq lists it as uncharacterized. Lineage: Eukaryota; Metazoa; Chordata; Mammalia; Rodentia; Dipodidae. The record is from RefSeq and is a predicted model, not a curated record. The transcript is spliced from 3 exons.
GCGGGCUGCGGGCUGCGGGGCCGGUCCUGCACGCUGCAGCCAGGCUUCUCCUGAAGCCCCUUGAGCUUCUGCGACCAGGGUCAACAGCCUGCAGUUGGUGAGGAGCAGCCGGAGUUGCCCGGACGGACCUCAGACCCGCAGUUCCGGGGGCCCGCAGGUGCUGCUCAUUGUCUCUAGCGAGGAAGAGUUCAGAUCCGCAUUCUUAAAACAGCAAACGAACAAAGAAGACGCUAUUGAGAACAUGCAAUGCUCCAGGCUCUAUCCUACAUAUUCUGUCCCCAAGGGGUCUACUCAAGCUCGGUCACGUAUAUAUGCCGCUUUCAUUUGAUGAUGGAAUGCUGCAGCUGUCCACUUCUGGGAGGUGCCCGCAUAACAUGCUGAACCAUCUAUACACCAUGCCCUUGUCCUCUCCUCCUCAAGUCAGUUGAUCAUAGGGCACAUCCCACGAUGACAUAGGUGUAUGUUUGGGGACAGAAUGCAUUGUAACAGAAGUAGCAACCAUAGGCAUUUGGGCAACAACCUCUGUGUUUUGGGGACCUGUUUGAGCAAAGUCAUGUAUUUACCACUUCCACUUGAUGAUGGAUUGUUGUUGUGCACAUCCAACUUUAUGGCUUGGUGGGUCAGGUAACACCCAGCUAACAAUGGGCAAGUUGG